RNAcentral lists this ribosomal RNA (505 nucleotides) under uncultured bacterium. RNAcentral's name for it is "partial 16S ribosomal RNA". It matches the Rfam family "Bacterial small subunit ribosomal RNA", at positions 28 to 507 of the family's 1533-position model. The record is from RNAcentral.
GACGAACGCUGGCGGCGUGCCUAAUACAUGCAAGUAGAACGCACAGUUUAUACCGUAGCUUGCUACACCAUAGACUGUGAGUUGCGAACGGGUGAGUAACGCGUAGGUAACCUGCCUGGUAGCGGGGGAUAACUAUUGGAAACGAUAGCUAAUACCGCAUAAUAUUGAUUAUUGCAUGAUAAUUAAUUGAAAGGUGCAAUUGCACCACUACCAGAUGGACCUGCGUUGUAUUAGCUAGUAGGUGAGGUAACGGCUCACCUAGGCGACGAUACAUAGCCGACCUGAGAGGGUGAUCGGCCACACUGGGACUGAGACACGGCCCAGACGCCUACGGGAGGCAGCAGUAGGGAAUCUUCGGAAAUGGACGAAAGUCUGAACGAGCAACGCCGCGUGAGUGAAGAAGGUUUUCGGAUCGUAAAGCUCUGUUGUAAGAGAAGAACGGGUGUGAGAGUGGAAAGUUCACACUGUGACGGUAUCUUACCAGAAAGGGACGGCUAACUACGUG